AGAGUUUGAUUAUGGCUCAGGAUGAACGCUAGCUACAGGCUUAACACAUGCAAGUCGAGGGCAGCAAUAACGAAAGCUUGCUUCUGUUGAUGGCGACCGGCGCACGGGUGAGUAACGCGUAUCCAACCUCCCUAUACUAGAGAAUAGCCCGGCGAAAGUCGGAUUAAUGCUCUAUGUUCUUCUUUGAUGGCAUCUGACGAGAAGCAAAGGUUUACCGGUAUAGGAUGGGGGAUGCGUCUGAUUAGGUCGUUGGCGGGGUAACGGCCCACCAAGCCUACGAUCAGUAGGGGUUCUGAGAGGAAGGUCCCCCACAUUGGUACUGAGACACGGACCAAACUCCUACGGGAGGCAGCAGUGAGGAAUAUUGGUCAAUGGGCGAGAGCCUGAACCAGCCAAGUAGCGUGCAGGAUGACUGCCCUAUGGGUUGUAAACUGCUUUUAUAGGGGAAUAAAGUGAGGUAUGUAUACCUUUUUGUAUGUACCCUAUGAAUAAGGACCGGCUAAUUCCGUGCCAGCCGCGGC
Molecule: ribosomal RNA, 521 nt
Filed under: uncultured bacterium
Lineage: Bacteria
Description: bacterial SSU rRNA
Rfam family: Bacterial small subunit ribosomal RNA
Source: RNAcentral